Molecule: transfer RNA, 74 nt
Filed under: Planctomycetota bacterium
Lineage: Bacteria; Pseudomonadati; Planctomycetota
Description: Planctomycetes bacterium (activated sludge metagenome) tRNA-Arg
Rfam family: tRNA
About the family: Transfer RNA (tRNA) molecules are approximately 80 nucleotides in length. Their secondary structure includes four short double-helical elements and three loops (D, anti-codon, and T loops).
Source: RNAcentral
GCCCCCGUAGCUCAGCUGGAUAGAGCAACAGAUUUCUAAUCUGUCGGUCAGGAGUUCGAAUCUCUUCGGGGGUA